GCCUGUCUGGUGGCACUGCUCCCUGGCAGUGGAGCAGCGGAGAAAAAGGAGGUGUUGGAAUAGGCUGUUCUUGGUAUUUUUGUCUGCUGUGUGCAGUCAGGAUAAGGCCCAUAAUCCUUAUGUCUUAGUUUGGAUGGAAGGGACAAGGAAACUAGAAGAAAGCGUACAACAUUCCCUAAGCAUCAGUGAAAACCCAAGGGUAUUGUGCACCCAUUUGUGACUGUGUCUUUGAAAUCACGUCUGAAUUACAGCUUUAUUAGAAUUUGUUUUGGAAAUGUUUUCAUUCAAUGCAUUAAAAUUAGAACACGAGACAGCUUUUCAGCCUGUAAGUAUUUAUGAAGACCUCGCCCAGGUGCUGUGAACCCAGUAGACACAAUGUACCAGCCAUUUGACACUUUUGUGUGGAAGUCAUUAAACCAAGGCAGUGGUGUUAUUAAAAUAGAAUUAUCUUCUUCAUGACGUUUAGAGUAGGUUGCAUUCAUUUCCCUCUGAACAUUAAUUCAAAGUGAAAGAAACUGAGUCAAAUUCUAGAUUUACAUUUCUCAUAAAAAAAAAAAAAAUCUUCUUGCUUUGAUUUUAGGUGGUUACUGGAAGUAUACACAGUUCUGAAUUGGCUACUCCAGACUCUUUCAAGUGAACUCACAAAUAAAC
Molecule: long non-coding RNA, 651 nt
Filed under: Anas platyrhynchos platyrhynchos (common mallard)
Lineage: Eukaryota; Metazoa; Chordata; Aves; Anseriformes; Anatidae
Description: lncRNA (ENSAPLG00000024441.1)
Source: RNAcentral